RNAcentral lists this ribosomal RNA (233 nucleotides) under uncultured bacterium. RNAcentral's name for it is "partial 16S ribosomal RNA". It matches the Rfam family "Bacterial small subunit ribosomal RNA", at positions 118 to 350 of the family's 1533-position model. The record is from RNAcentral.
UGGGCAACCUGCCCCUCUCUCUGGGAUAACCCCGGGGAAACCGGAGCUAAUACCGGAUACUCCGGCUGGAUCGCAUGGUCCGGCCGGGAAAGGUCCGCCGGAGAGGGAUGGGCCCGCGGCCUAUCAGCUUGUUGGUGGGGUAACGGCCUACCAAGGCAAAGAUGGUUAGCUGGUCUGAGAGGACGAUAAGCCACACUGGGACUGAGACACGGCCCAGACUCCUACGGGAGGCA